This 484-nucleotide ribosomal RNA is filed under the name uncultured bacterium. RNAcentral's name for it is "partial 16S ribosomal RNA". It matches the Rfam family "Bacterial small subunit ribosomal RNA", at positions 29 to 507 of the family's 1533-position model. The record is from RNAcentral.
AUUGAACGCUGGCGGCAUGCUUUACACAUGCAAGUCGAACGGCAGCGCGGGCUUCGGCCUGGCGGCGAGUGGCGAACGGGUGAGGAAUGCGUCGGAACGUGCCCAGUAGUGGGGGAUAGCUCGGCGAAAGCCGGAUUAAUACCGCAUACGACCUGAGUGUGAAAGCGUGGGAUCUUCGGACCUCGCGCUAUUGGAUCUGCCGAUGGCAGGUUAGCUAGUUGGUGGGGUAAAGGCCUACCAAGGCGACGAUCUGUAGCUGUGGUGAGAGGACGACCAGCCACAAUGGGACUGAGAAACGGCCCCGAAUCCUACGGGAGGAGGCAGUGGGGAAUUUUGGACAAUGGGCGAAAGCAUGAUCCAGCAAUGCCGCGUGUGUGAUGAAGGCCUUCGGGUUGUAAAGAACUUUUGGCGGGAACGAAAAGGACUGUGCCAAUACCACGGUUCGAUGACGGUACCCGCAGAAUAAGCACCGGCUAACUACGUG